RNAcentral lists this ribosomal RNA (395 nucleotides) under uncultured bacterium. Its description in RNAcentral is "partial 16S ribosomal RNA". It matches the Rfam family "Bacterial small subunit ribosomal RNA", at positions 523 to 917 of the family's 1533-position model. The record is from RNAcentral.
AUACGUAGGUGACAAGCGUUAUCCGGAUUUACUGGGCGUAAAGGGCGUGUAGGCGGUCUUGCAAGUCAGAAGUGAAAUUCCUGAGCUCAACUCGGGCGCUGCUUCUGAAACUGCAGGACUUGAGUGCUGGAGGGGAUAGCGGAAUUCCUAGUGGAGCGGUAAAUGGGCAGAUAUUAGGAAGAACACCGGUGGCGAAGGCGGAUAUCUGGACAGUAACGGACGCUGAGGCGCGAAAGCGUGGGGAGCAAACAGGAUUAGAUCCCCUGUUAGUCCACGCCGUAAACGAUGAAUACUAGGUGUAGGGGGUAUCGACUCCCUCUGUGCCGCAGUUAACACAAUACGUAUUCCGCCUGGGGAGUACGGCCGCAAGGUUGAAACUCAAAGGAAUUGACGGG